This 59-nucleotide transfer RNA is filed under the name Alloprevotella tannerae. RNAcentral's name for it is "tRNA-Arg(tct)". It matches the Rfam family "tRNA", at positions 9 to 63 of the family's 71-position model. Rfam says of the family: Transfer RNA (tRNA) molecules are approximately 80 nucleotides in length. Their secondary structure includes four short double-helical elements and three loops (D, anti-codon, and T loops). RNAcentral also lists the same sequence under 1 other name. The record is from RNAcentral. Lineage: Bacteria; Pseudomonadati; Bacteroidota; Bacteroidia; Bacteroidales; Prevotellaceae.
AGCUCAGCUGGAUAGAGCAACAGCCUUCUAAGCUGUGGGUCUUGGGUUCGAAUCCCAAC